Molecule: ribosomal RNA, 391 nt
Filed under: uncultured bacterium
Lineage: Bacteria
Description: bacterial SSU rRNA
Rfam family: Bacterial small subunit ribosomal RNA
Source: RNAcentral
GACGAACGCUGGCGGCGUGCUUAACACAUGCAAGUCGAGCGGUAAGGCCCUUUCGGGGGUACACGAGCGGCGAACGGGUGAGUAACACGUGGGUGACCUGCCCUCAGCUCUGGGAUAAGCCUGGGAAACCGGGUCUAAUACUGGAUAUGACUCCAUGACGCAUGUUGUGGGGUGGAAAGCCUUGUGCGGCUGAGGAUGGGCCCGCGGCCUAUCAGCUUGUUGGUGGGGUGAUGGCCUACCAAGGCGACGACGGGUAGCCGGCCUGAGAGGGCGACCGGCCACACUGGGACUGCGACACGGCCCAGACUCCUACGGGAGGCAGCAGUGGGGAAUCUUGCGCAAUGGGCGAAAGCCUGACGCAGCGACGCCGCGUGAGGGAUGACGGCCUGGU